RNAcentral lists this ribosomal RNA (425 nucleotides) under uncultured prokaryote. Its description in RNAcentral is "bacterial SSU rRNA". It matches the Rfam family "Bacterial small subunit ribosomal RNA", at positions 355 to 774 of the family's 1533-position model. The record is from RNAcentral.
UAACGAAUAUUGGGCAAUGGGCGAAAGCCUGACCCAGCAAUGCCGCGUGCAGGACGAAGUCCUUCGGGAUGUAAACUGCUGUCAGGGGUCCGCAAGCGAAGGGGUCCAACAGGCCCUGGAGUUGAGCAGCCCCAGAGGAAGCCUCGACUAACUCUGUGCCAGCAGUCGCGGUAAGACAGAGGAGGCAAGCGUUGUUCGGAAUCACUGGGCUUAAAGAGCGUGUAGGCGGCUUAGAAAGUGUCGUGUGAAAUCCCGCGGCUCAACCGCGGAACGGCACGGCAAACUGCUUGGCUUGAGGUCGGUAGAGGGGCCUGGAACUCUAGGUGGAGCGGUGAAAUGCGUAGAUAUCUAGAGGAACGCCAGAAGCGAAAGCGGGGCACUGGGCCGAUUCUGACGCUGAGACACGAAAGCGUGGGGAGCAAACA